AGACGUAUAAGCAACACCUCGGACUCUCUUUAAACCAGUUUUAGUUCGGAGUUGCUUUCCAUGAUUAACAAGGUAUGUGGGAUGAGAACAGACCAGAAUGCAGAGCUUAUUAAAGACUGCGGGUCCAUAUGGAAUAUUUGCUGGUAGGGAUGCCUCCAGAGGACUGGCCACAUUUUGCCUAGAUAAAGAUGCACUUAGAGAUGAAUAUGAUGAUCUCUCAGAUUUGAAUGCAGUACAAAUGGAGAGUGUUCGAGAAUGGGAAAUGCAGUUUAAAGAAAAAUAUGAUUAUGUAGGCAGACUCCUAAAACCAGGAGAAGAACCAUCAGAAUAUACAGAUGAAGAAGAUACCAAGGAUCACAAUAAACAGGAUUGAACUUUGUAAACAACCAAAGUCAGGGGCCUUCAGAACUGCAAUUCUUACUCCCUUUCACAGACUGUCCGGAGUCUUUGGGUUUGAUUCACCUGCUGCGAAAAACAUUCAACAAAUUGUGUACAAGAUAAAUUAAUCUCACUAUGAAGAUUUGAAUAACUAGACAUUAUUUAUGCUGCCAAACUCAUUUGUUGCAGUUGUUUGUAAUGUCUAGUGGGGCUUCAUCAUCCUGAAAAGAAGGAGACAGGGAUUUUUUUAAAGAGCAAGAAAGUCACAAUAUUACUUCUUUCCUUCCUUUUUUCCUUCUUUCCUUUCUUCUUUCUCUUUCUUUCUUUUUAAAAUAUAUUGAAGACAACCAGAUAUGUAUUUGCUACUCAAGUGUACAGAUCUCCUCAAGAAACAUCAAGGGACUCCUGUGUCACAUACUGUGUUUUUAUUUUAACAUGGG
This 818-nucleotide long non-coding RNA is filed under the name Homo sapiens (human). Its description in RNAcentral is "non-protein coding lnc-MFSD8-8:4". The record is from RNAcentral. Lineage: Eukaryota; Metazoa; Chordata; Mammalia; Primates; Hominidae.